This is a long non-coding RNA of Pseudophryne corroboree (corroboree frog), 777 nucleotides long. RefSeq lists it as uncharacterized. The transcript has 2 exons. The record is from RefSeq and is a predicted model, not a curated record. NCBI's taxonomy places the organism in Eukaryota, Metazoa, Chordata, Amphibia, Anura, Myobatrachidae.
CAUUAACCUGUUUACACAACAGUUUAAGAAACACACAAAAAAAAAAAGAGAUAAUAGGAAUGUGACCAGCCCAAGGUCAGAUAGUAGUUCCAGGUGUGUCCACCCAACAAUACACUUUCACUGCCGCCUCCCUGCAUGGAAGUGUUUCGCAAGUGAAACAUGAACUGCAGACAGAAACUGUCACCAUCAGCAGUAUAAUCUCAUAAGAGGCACACAGAGGCAGAACGCAUAAGAAGGACAUAGGAGGAAAGCUAAUUGUAUCCUUUCCAGACAUGUGAAACCAAAGCGACAGGAGGACAGGACAGGUCAUGGGAAAAACACACAGGGUCCAGUUGGAAGAUAACAAAGACAGGCAACUAUACAACAGACAGGUUUCCAAGAAGGAAAGAUAAUGCUAAUUUAGGCCAUACUCGCAUGUAUAACAGCAGUGGUACUGGUGUUGGAACUGAUGGUAAUCUGUUGUGCCCUGAUGACUUCAUGGAACAGACCUUCUGCAGUUGGGAGAACCUGAAUGGCAUGCUGCAAGGGUUCAGGAGGAAGAACGCACCCCUGGGAGGAUUCCAAAGUCACAGCGAGUGGAAGUUUUCCAGUUUCUCAGGACGCUCCUCUGAUCUAGAAACUGCUAUUCACACGAUAACAAUAACCAACAGCCUACUUCAUUGGUUAAAGCAUUUAGAUAUAAUAUAGCCUAUAUAUAAGGCAACCUUAAUUAUAAUUGUUAUAGAUGUGGAAAUACAUGUACUCCCUACACUAAAUUCUACGGAUAUUAGAAGACAA